AAGUCGAACGGAUCCUUCGGGAUUAGUGGCGGACGGGUGAGUAACACGUGGGAACGUGCCCUUUGGUUCGGAACAACUCAGGGAAACUUGAGCUAAUACCGGAUGUGCCCUUCGGGGGAAAGAUUUAUCGCCAUUGGAGCGGCCCGCGUCUGAUUAGCUAGUUGGUGGGGUAAAGGCCCACCAAGGCGACGAUCAGUAGCUGGUCUGAGAGGAUGAUCAGCCACAUUGGGACUGAGACACGGCCCAA
This 247-nucleotide ribosomal RNA is filed under the name uncultured bacterium. RNAcentral describes it as "partial 16S ribosomal RNA". It matches the Rfam family "Bacterial small subunit ribosomal RNA", at positions 59 to 334 of the family's 1533-position model. The record is from RNAcentral.